Molecule: ribosomal RNA, 484 nt
Filed under: uncultured bacterium
Lineage: Bacteria
Description: partial 16S ribosomal RNA
Rfam family: Bacterial small subunit ribosomal RNA
Source: RNAcentral
AUUGAACGCUGGCGGCAUGCUUUACACAUGCAAGUCGAACGGCAGCGCGGGCUUCGGCCUGGCGGCGAGUGGCGAACGGGUGAGUAAUGCAUCGGAACGUGCCCAGCAGUGGGGGAUAGCCCGGCGAAAGCCGGAUUAAUACCGCAUACGACCUGAGGGCGAAAGCGGGGGACCGAAAGGCCUCGCGCUAUUGGAGCGGCCGAUGUCGGAUUAGCUAGUUGGUGGGGUAAAGGCUUACCAAGGCGACGAUCCGUAGCUGGUCUGAGAGGACGACCAGCCACACUGGGACUGAGACACGGCCCAGACUCCUACGGGAGGCAGCAGUGGGGAAUUUUGGACAAUGGGGGCAACCCUGAUCCAGCCAUGCCGCGUGCGGGAAGAAGGCCUUCGGGUUGUAAACCGCUUUUGUUCGGGGAGAAAUCCUCUGGGCUAAUACCCCGGGGGGAUGACGGUACCGGAAGAAUAAGCACCGGCUAACUACGUG